UACGUAGGGUGCAAGCGUUAAUCGGAAUUACUGGGCGUAAAGCGUGCGCAGGCGGCUUUGCAAGACAGAUGUGAAAUCCCCGGGCUUAACCUGGGAACUGCAUUUGUGACUGCAUGGCUGGAGUGCGGCAGAGGGGGAUGGAAUUCCGCGUGUAGCAGUGAAAUGCGUAGAUAUGCGGAGGAACACCGAUGGCGAAGGCAAUCCCCUGGGCCUGCACUGACGCUCAUGCACGAAAGCGUGGGGAGAAAACAGG
Molecule: ribosomal RNA, 253 nt
Filed under: uncultured bacterium
Lineage: Bacteria
Description: partial 16S ribosomal RNA
Rfam family: Bacterial small subunit ribosomal RNA
Source: RNAcentral